This 1373-nucleotide ribosomal RNA is filed under the name uncultured bacterium. Its description in RNAcentral is "16S ribosomal RNA". It matches the Rfam family "Bacterial small subunit ribosomal RNA", at positions 30 to 1393 of the family's 1533-position model. The record is from RNAcentral.
UGAACGCUGGCGGUAUGCUUAACACAUGCAAGUCGAACGGAAACGAUACUAGCUUGCUAGUAGGCGUCGAGUGGCGGACGGGUGAGUAACGCGUAGGAAUCUGCCUGAUAGUGGGGGAUAGCCCGAAGAAAUUCGGAUUAAUACCGCAUAAUCUAUUCGUAGUAAAGUGGGGGACUUUCGAGCCUCACGCUAUCAGAUGAGCCUGCGUAAGAUUAGCUUGUUGGUAGGGUAAAAGCCUACCAAGGCGACGAUCUUUAGCUGGUCUGAGAGGAUGAUCAGCCACAUCGGGACUGAGACACGGCCCGAACUCCUACGGGAGGCAGCAGUGGGGAAUAUUGGACAAUGGGGGCAACCCUGAUCCAGCAAUACCGCGUGUGUGAAGAAGGCCUGAGGGUUGUAAAGCACUUUCAAUUGUGAAGAAAAGUUAGCGGUUAAUAACCGUUAGCCUUGACGUUAACUUUAGAAGAAGCACCGGCUAACUCCGUGCCAGCAGCCGCGGUAAUACGGAGGGUGCAAGCGUUAAUCGGAAUUACUGGGCGUAAAGCGUGCGUAGGCGGUUUAUUAAGUCAGAUGUGAAAGCCCCGGGCUUAACCUGGGAACUGCAUUUGAAACUGGUCAACUAGAGUAUGGUAGAGGAAAGUGGAAUUUCUGGUGUAGCGGUGAAAUGCGUAGAUAUCAGAAGGAACAUCAAUGGCGAAAGGCAGCUUUCUGGACCAAUACUGACGCUGAGGUACGAAAGCGUGGGUAGCAAACAGGAUUAGAUACCCUGGUAGUCCACGCCGUAAACGAUGAUAACUAGCCGUUGGGGGGAUUUACCCUUUAGUGGCGAAGCUAACGCGUUAAGUUAUCCGCCUGGGGGGUACGGCCGCAAGGUUAAAACUCAAAGGAAUUGACGGGGACCCGCACAAGCGGUGGAGCAUGUGGUUUAAUUCGAUGCAACGCGAAGAACCUUACCUGGUCUUGACAUCCUGCGAACUUCCUAGAAAUAGAUUGGUGCCUUCGGGAACGCAGUGACAGGUGCUGCAUGGCUGUCGUCAGCUCGUGUCGUGAGAUGUUGGGUUAAGUCCCGUAACGAGCGCAACCCCUAUCCUUAUUUGCCAGCACAUCAUGGUGGGAACUAUAAGGAGACUGCCGGUGAUAAACCGGAGGAAGGCGGGGACGACGUCAAGUCAUCAUGGCCCUUACGACCAGGGCUACACACGUGCUACAAUGGGAAGGACAAAGAGCCGCGAAGCCGCGAGGUGUAGCUAAUCUCAUAAACCUUUUCGUAGUCCGGAUUGGAGUCUGCAACUCGACUCCAUGAAGUCGGAAUCGCUAGUAAUCGUAGAUCAGAAUGCUACGGUGAAUACGUUCCCGGGUCUUGUACUCACCGC